This 203-nucleotide long non-coding RNA is filed under the name Mytilus galloprovincialis (Mediterranean mussel). Lineage: Eukaryota; Metazoa; Mollusca; Bivalvia; Mytilida; Mytilidae. The record is from RNAcentral.
ACUUAACUAUAACCACUGAACCAUGAAAAUGAGGUCAAGAACAUUGGACAUGUGACUGACGGAAACUUCCUAACAUGAGGCAUCUAUAUACCAAGUAUGACGCUUCCAGGUCUUCCACCUUCUAAAAUAUUAAGCUUUUAAGCACUUAGCUAACGCCGCCGCCGGAUCACUAUCCCUAUAAAAAUUAACAAUUACAGAGAGGC